This 777-nucleotide ribosomal RNA is filed under the name uncultured Neocallimastigales. Its description in RNAcentral is "partial large subunit ribosomal RNA". It matches the Rfam family "Eukaryotic large subunit ribosomal RNA", at positions 23 to 640 of the family's 3401-position model. Lineage: Eukaryota; Fungi; Neocallimastigomycota; Neocallimastigomycetes; Neocallimastigales. The record is from RNAcentral.
AUAGAGACUCAGAGCUGCAUAUCAAUAAGCGGAGGAAAAGAAACUAACUAGGAUUCCCUUAGUAACGGCGAGUGAAGCGGGAAGAGCUCAAAUUUGAAAUCUUCAAGGUUCUACCUUGACGAAUUGUAGUUUAAAGAAGUGUUUUCUGUUAAGUAUGAGUACAAAAGUUCCUUUGGAAUAGGACAUCAUAGAGGGUGAGAAUCCCGUAUUUGACCAUUAUCUCCAGCUGUGUGAUACACUUUCAACGAGUCGGAUUGUUUGGGGAUGCAGUCCAAAAUGGGUGGUAAAUUUCAUCUAAAGCUAAAUAUUGGCGAGAGACCGAUAGCGAACAAGUACCGUGAGGGAAAGAUGAAAAGAACUUUGAAAAGAGAGUUAAACAGUACGUGAAAUUGUCAAAAGGGAAGCGUUUGACACCAGUGUUGUUUUUCUCGAAAAUCAAUUACAAAUGGCUUGAUUUUGUGUUGUAUUGACCUUAUCAGCUUUCUGCACUUUUUUCUAGUCUUUCUUAAUGCACUUUUCGUUUAACAAGUCAACAUCAAUUUCUUUUGUUGUAAAAGAGUAUUCGGAAGGUGGCUUUCUUUUCGGAGAAAGUGUUUAUAGCCCUAUACUUCUACAAUCGGAGAGAUUGAGGUCUGCAGCGUAGAUCCUUCGGGGUUAGAUACACUUGUGCUAAGUUGUAGCUUUUCAUAGACAACUUGUUGACUAUGUUUAGUCAUGCGGCUUACUCGCUUGUGCUAUUUUACCUACGCUUAGGAUGUUGACGAUCAGCUGAGCGCG